UCACUCAGAAGAGAGCCGACACCAGCACUUUGUCUGGACUGCCUGUGAGCCGUUGCCACCAAGGUUUUAGUUUUAUGCUGGUGAAGAUUCCUGGACAGUUUCUGGCAAUGAGUUUUCUUCUUUUUCACCAGCAUAACACACAUGAACACACAGGCAUGCAUUCACACACUCACUCACACACACACACACACACACCCCUCCCUUCUCUUAAGUAGGGCAAAAUGUUAAGUGACAUGAAUUCCUGUAACUCUGGACAGUUUCCGGCAACGAACUUUCUUCUUUUUCAGCAGCAUAACCAACAUGCACACACAGGCAUGUACACACACAAAUACACAGAGAGACCUCCUCUUAAAGUAGGGCAAAAUCCAAGGUUCUGUUGUCCUUGCAGGUGAAUUAAGCGGUCUGUGUUGAGCGACAUGAAUUCCUUUACCGCGUGGCGUUCCAAAGGCGAUUCUCACCCGGGUGUUGCCUGUGCUGUGGCUCUCCUCUAUGCCCAAGAAACAGGUCUGCAUCCAGGCUUGGUGGGAAUUUCCACUACAGAAAGAGAAUCAAAUACCCCAGCCACUAUGCCAUGAAAUGCAACCUCUGGCUUCGCAACCUCUGUGAGUUGCUGAAUUCUUCCUUCCAAGUUGCUCGCCAACUACCAGACUCUCUGCGCAGUGAGUAUGGGUCCUGGACCUGAAGAUCUCAUUCAUGAAUCCUUGUGGGUGAGAUACCAAGACACAUGCUGGGAUCAGUUUGUUGCUCUAAAAGCAAGCAUGAAAAUACUCAGUGAUAUUGGUUAGAAUCCUCAGAGAGGUCCAAGCUUAAUAAUGGGCUAAAUUAGCCCUAAAUUAAAGGCUGCUCUGGACCCAACCUAAUGAAGCUGACAGGAUAGAAUCCAAUGGCAUCCUACACCACAAUGACAAAUAACUUAGUCAUGUGCCAGAAAAAAAAAAAAAAAAAAAGAAUCUAACAUUACUUUAACAGUAGAACAAAAAUCAUAAAUCUAGAAACAAAUCAAUAAAUAUAAAAAGGCCCAAAGACAGAGAUGCUAGAACCAGUAGACAAGAAUGUAAAAUUAUCAACUAUAAAUAUUUUUCAUCUGUUCAAUAAAGCAGAGGAGAAGACGAGCAUGAAAAAGAGGAAAAUUAACUCUAUCAAAUCCAACUGAACUUCUAGAGAAGAAAAUUGUAAUAUAUGAUAUAAAAAUACAUUACAUGGAUUUACAGCAGAUUAGACACUGGAAAAGAAAAUAUCUGGGAAUUUGAAUAAAGAACAAAAUAAAUGAUCAAAAAUAAACAUAUAAAAAGACUGAGGAGUUCCUUUGUAGUGCAGCAGGUUAAGGAUUCAGUGUUGUCACUGCAGCGGAUUGGGUUGCUUCUGUGGCAUAGAUUUGAUACCUGGCCUAGGAACUUCCAUGUACCACAGGCACAGCCAAUAAAAAAAAAAAAAAAGACUGAAAAUGAACAAAAAUCAGUGAAAUACAGGACAAUAUCACUGAUAUAGGAUACAUGAAAAUGGAGUUCCAUGAAAAAUGGGGAAUAAAAUAUUUGAAAUUAUAAUGGCAAAAAUUCCAACAUUUGAUGAAAACUAAAAAUGAUUAAACCCAAGAAAUACAAUGAAUCACAGAAAAAAACUUCAAAAAAAAAAAA
This 1634-nucleotide long non-coding RNA is filed under the name Sus scrofa (pig). Its description in RNAcentral is "lncRNA (ENSSSCG00030060107.1)". Lineage: Eukaryota; Metazoa; Chordata; Mammalia; Artiodactyla; Suidae. The record is from RNAcentral.